CUACGGGUGGCUGCAGUGGGGAAUAUUGGACAAUGGGCGAAAGCCUGAUCCAGCCAUGCCGCGUGUGUGAAGAAGGCCUUCGGGUUGUAAAGCACUUUCAGUGGGGAAGAAAGCCUUGGGGCUAAUACCCUCGAGGAAGGACAUCACCCACAGAAGAAGCACCGGCUAACUCCGUGCCAGCAGCCGCGGUAAUACGGAGGGUGCGAGCGUUAAUCGGAAUUACUGGGCGUAAAGCGCGCGUAGGCGGUCUGAUAAGCCGGUUGUGAAAGCCCCGGGCUCAACCUGGGAACGGCAUCCGGAACUGUCAGGCUAGAGUGCAGGAGAGGAAGGUAGAAUUCCCGGUGUAGCGGUGAAAUGCGUAGAGAUCGGGAGGAAUACCAGUGGCGAAGGCGGCCUUCUGGACUGACACUGACGCUGAGGUGCGAAAGCGUGGGUAGCAAACAGGAUUAGAUACCCCGGUAGUC
RNAcentral lists this ribosomal RNA (464 nucleotides) under Vreelandella stevensii. Its description in RNAcentral is "partial 16S ribosomal RNA". It matches the Rfam family "Bacterial small subunit ribosomal RNA", at positions 339 to 795 of the family's 1533-position model. The record is from RNAcentral. Lineage: Bacteria; Pseudomonadati; Pseudomonadota; Gammaproteobacteria; Oceanospirillales; Halomonadaceae.